GAUGAACGCUGGCGGCGUGCCUAAUACAUGCAAGUCGAGCGAACAGACGAGGAGCUUGCUCCUCUGACGUUAGCGGCGGACGGGUGAGUAACACGUGGAUAACCUACCUAUAAGACUGGGAUACCUUCGGGAAACCGGAGCUAAUACCGGAUAAUAUAUUGAACCGCAUUGUUCAAUAGUGAAAGACGGUUUUGCUGUCACUUAAAGAUGGACCCGCACCGCAUUAGUUAGUUGGUAAGGUAACGGCUUACCAAGGCAACGAUGCGUACCCGACCUGAGAGGGUGGUCGGACACACUGGAACUGAGACACGGCCCAGACUCCUGCGGGAGGCAGCAGCAGGGAAUCUUCCGCAAUGGGCGAAAGCCUGACGGUGCAACGCCGCGUGAGUGAUGAAGCACUUCGGAUCGGAAAACUCUGUUAUUAGGGAAGAAGAAAUGUGUAAGUAACUAUGCACGUAUUGACGGUACCUAGUCAGAAAGCCACGGCUAACUACGUG
Molecule: ribosomal RNA, 497 nt
Filed under: uncultured bacterium
Lineage: Bacteria
Description: partial 16S ribosomal RNA
Rfam family: Bacterial small subunit ribosomal RNA
Source: RNAcentral